RNAcentral lists this long non-coding RNA (202 nucleotides) under Ovis aries (sheep). RNAcentral describes it as "lncRNA (ENSOARG00000025523.1)". Lineage: Eukaryota; Metazoa; Chordata; Mammalia; Artiodactyla; Bovidae. The record is from RNAcentral.
AUCUGAUUCCCUAAAGCUCUAAAAGCUGAGUUUUCUAAAACAUCUGAGAAUGGCUUCCAGCCAAACUUUGGCUGCACUUUUAAUGGCAUAUGGGCUGAAGAUGUAAUGAAUGGCACAAUCAAAUUCCAUCUUUUUCUAAUAUCUGCCUGUGGAUUAAAAUGAAAUUCAGAAAUUUGGAGUAAGGCCUGGUCAUAAGUCUUUC